UGAACUGUCGCGCUUGGACUCAGGCACGUGACUGGUUCCAGCAACAGCCCGCUCCCGUGACCGGGUCUGCCCGCAUUCCUGCCCUCUGGCUCCAGGUCUCUGGCUCCCCUGAACCGUGCCCGCGGGCCCGUCGGUAGGCAGCACUCACCCCAUCAGCCUGCUCGGGCCAGCGGGGAACGUCCGGGCCAUCGGAGCUCGGCUGGGUCCACAACCGGCCUCAUCGCCUUCAGAGACGUGGCAGCCUCCCUGCCCCCAAGUCUUGCGGGGCUGGCAGCUUCACAUGGGCCGCGGGCACACCCCAUCCUCCUAGGCUGUCUGACCGGGUCCCACGCUGACCAGUCGCCCAGGGCCCAGGUGUCGUCUCUGGACGGAGGCUUGUCCUGCCAUCCACCCAAGCCUCCUGCCAUCCACCCAUUUUUAUCUUGGCAAGGCAUUCCAUACUCCUCCAUCUGUCGACUGCAGGGUGAAAGGGUGUUUGUGUGCCAGAGUAGUGUCCCAGGACACAUCACACCAUUUCCCCAUGAUGCCUUCAUCUGCCUAUGAAUGAGGGAUGAGGAAUCGGGGAGAAUCACCAUGUGCUUACAACUCUCCAAAUGGAGAAACCAAGAGCUACUCCCAGGAAUUCUCCUUAGAAGAAAGGUAGCACUUAAUUAUCUACACAAGCCAAUGUACAGCAGGGAGCCUUCGGAAAGCCCUAUUUACACCUCCUGCUCCAGCUGGCUGGGAGUGCUCACCAUGGGAGGCGAGCGGACUUGGUAAGCUCGAAUGCUAGCAUAACUGCCCAUCAUGCCAACAGUGAGAUGGGCAUAUAUAACCUAGAAUUAAAAACAUAUAAUAAAUCUUACAGA
Molecule: long non-coding RNA, 848 nt
Organism: Panthera uncia (snow leopard)
Lineage: Eukaryota; Metazoa; Chordata; Mammalia; Carnivora; Felidae
Exons: 3
Source: RefSeq, a predicted model, not a curated record